GCUGAACUGGAAAAGGAAAGUUCCUCCAGUACAAUCUCUAGCUGAACCUGAUCUCCAUCUCCGCCAGUCUGAUAAAUCUUUUCUUAUUGCACUUCUUUGUAUCAACACUCGGCUAUAACUUUGGCUUCUUAAUUUGUAAACAAAUUAAUUAGUUUCUCACUCUUUCUCUAUCCCCUUGCUUCUUCUUCUGGGAUUUUCUAUCCCCUUUUUAACUAUUUGGUCAAUUUUGCUGCUAUAGAGAAGCACGGAAAUGGAAGCUUCAUUGUGUUUUUUUUUGUUCAAGCAUGCAUGUGUAAUUUUAAGGCCGUAGGCACUUGCUAAAUCAGUAAAUUCAGUUAUUCAGGCACAAAAAUGAUCUGACCCAUAUCUUCGCCCGACAAACCUUAG
This 387-nucleotide long non-coding RNA is filed under the name Solanum tuberosum (potato). Its description in RNAcentral is "long non-coding RNA (STUB_LNC008878)". The record is from RNAcentral. Lineage: Eukaryota; Viridiplantae; Streptophyta; Magnoliopsida; Solanales; Solanaceae.